Molecule: ribosomal RNA, 846 nt
Filed under: uncultured Bacteroidota bacterium
Lineage: Bacteria; Pseudomonadati; Bacteroidota
Description: bacterial SSU rRNA
Rfam family: Bacterial small subunit ribosomal RNA
Source: RNAcentral
GUAACGCGUAUGCAACCUGCCCUUUACUGGGGAAUAGCCUCUCGAAAGAGAGAUUAAUACCCCAUAAUAUAUAAGAUAGGCAUCUAUCAGAUAUUAAAGCUACGGCGGUAAAGGACGGGCAUGCGGCUGAUUAGGUAGUUGGUGAGGUAAUGGCUCACCAAGCCAACGAUCAGUAGGGGGUCUGAGAGGAUGUCCCCCCACACUGGUACUGAGACACGGACCAGACUCCUACGGGAGGCAGCAGUAGGGAAUAUUGGACAAUGGGGGCAACCCUGAUCCAGCCAUGCCGCGUGCAGGAUGAAGGCCCUAUGGGUCGUAAACUGCUUUUGUACGGGAAGAAACCUCACUACGUGUAGUGAGUUGACGGUACCGUGAGAAUAAGGAUCGGCUAACUUCGUGCCAGCAGCCGCGGUAAUACGAAGGAUCCAAGCGUUGUCCGGAUUUACUGGGUUUAAAGGGUGCGUAGGCGGACUUUUAAGUCAGUGGUGAAAGCCUGUAGCUUAACUAUAGAAUUGCCAUUGAAACUGAAAGUCUCGAGUGUGGUUGAGGUAACUGGAAUAUAUCAUGUAGCGGUGAAAUGCUUAGAUAUGAUAUAGAACACCAAUUGCGAAGGCAGGUUACUGAGCCAUUACUGACGCUGAGGCACGAAAGCGUGGGGAUCAAACAGGAUUAGAUACCCUGGUAGUCCACGCCGUAAACGUUGCAUACUCGAUCUUAGCGAUACACAGUUAGGAUCCAAGCGAAAGCGUUAAGUAUGCCACCUGGGAAGUACGUUCGCAAGAAUGAAACUCAAAGGAAUUGACGGGGGCCCGCACAAGCGGAGGAGCAUGUGGUUUAAUUCGAUGA